CCUACGGGAGGCAGCAGUAGGGAAUCUUCCACAAUGGGCGAAAGCCUGAUGGAGCAACGCCGCGUGGGUGAAGAAGGUCUUCGGAUCGUAAAACCCUGUUGUUAGAGAAGAAAGUGCGUGAGAGUAACUGUUCACGUUUCGACGGUAUCUAACCAGAAAGCCACGGCUAACUACGUGCCAGCAGCCGCGGUAAUACGUAGGUGGCAAGCGUUAUCCGGAUUGAUUGGGCGUAAAGCGAACGCAGGCGGUCUUUUAAGUCUGAUGUGAAAGCCUUCGGCUUAACCGGAGUAGUGCAUUGGAAACUGGGAGACUUGAGUGCAGAAGAGGAGAGUGGAACUCCAUGUGUAGCGGUGAAAUGCGUAGAUAUAUGGAAGAACACCAGUGGCGAAAGCGGCUCUCUGGUCUGUAACUGACGCUGAGGUUCGAAAGCGUGGGUAGCAAACAGGAUUAGAUACCCCGGUAGUC
RNAcentral lists this ribosomal RNA (465 nucleotides) under uncultured bacterium. RNAcentral's name for it is "partial 16S ribosomal RNA". It matches the Rfam family "Bacterial small subunit ribosomal RNA", at positions 338 to 795 of the family's 1533-position model. The record is from RNAcentral.